Molecule: ribosomal RNA, 253 nt
Filed under: uncultured bacterium
Lineage: Bacteria
Description: partial 16S ribosomal RNA
Rfam family: Bacterial small subunit ribosomal RNA
Source: RNAcentral
UACGGAGGGCGCGAGCGUUGUUCGGAAUCACUGGGCGUAAAGCGCGUGUAGGCGGCCGAGCAAGUCGGAUGUGCAAUCCCGAGGCUCAACCUCGGAACUGCAUUCGAAACUGCUCGGCUCGAGUCCCGGAGAGGAUGGCGGAAUUCCCGGUGUAGGGGUGAAAUCCGUAGAUAUCGGGAGGAACACCAGUGGCGAAGGCGGCCAUCUGGACGGUGACUGACGCUGAGACGCGAAAGCGUGGGGAGCAAACAGG